GCAUCGCUUUGAGCCCCUCAAAACAGUUUCUUCUGAAAUUUCAACGCGAUCGGUACUGUCUAAAGACCAUCGGACUAUCAAUUCUCGCUUGUUAAUUGUUGUUUGCUCCCCAGCUUUCGAAUCUUGCUGUUACAUUUGCGAAUUUUUGCUUGCGCUUGCCUUUUAUUAUUAGACGAUUGACAAUUCUCAUAAUCGCGGCUUAUCGCAGGCUCCACGGCGGACAAUAACAAGCAAUUACACAACAAGACGGCAAAUUUGCAUAAAUAAAUAUUUUAUAUACAUAGUCUCGUUUGCGGAAGCUGCUCUUCGGCCGGAAAAUGCUGUCACAAGUUAUCGUUACAAUCAUCGCUAUAACAGUUAUAUUGAUGUCGAUGCUCAGUCACGCUGCACCGGUGCUUGGGUAUCAAACCAUUUUCGAAGACGAUACCCGCAGUCAAGGCCGCCCCAAGCCGAUUUUCGUGCAUUGUGACGAAAUAGGAAAUCACUUGAAUUGUAUGCUCUAUUGUAAGAGCAGGGGCUACAAUACCGGAAGUUGUGGUGGCGAUUUUACGUGUAACUGUUUUUAGCUUUAAUUAUUCGAACUUAUUUAUUUUUGUAUAGUUAAUUAAUAUUAUGCUAAGGAUCUUUGUAAAUUUGUUCUAAAUACAUUUGUAAUAACAAAAAAUAUUAUUCAACUUUA
This is a long non-coding RNA of Bactrocera neohumeralis, 679 nucleotides long. RefSeq lists it as uncharacterized. The record is from RefSeq and is a predicted model, not a curated record. NCBI's taxonomy places the organism in Eukaryota, Metazoa, Arthropoda, Insecta, Diptera, Tephritidae. The transcript is spliced from 2 exons.